GGUCCCAUCGUCUAGAGGCCAAGGAUAGCGGGUUCUCAUCCCGUCGACGGGGGUUCGAAUCCCCCUGGGACCACCA
Molecule: transfer RNA, 76 nt
Filed under: Candidatus Bipolaricaulota bacterium
Lineage: Bacteria; Candidatus Bipolaricaulota
Description: tRNA-Glu
Rfam family: tRNA
About the family: Transfer RNA (tRNA) molecules are approximately 80 nucleotides in length. Their secondary structure includes four short double-helical elements and three loops (D, anti-codon, and T loops).
Source: RNAcentral